RNAcentral lists this long non-coding RNA (2735 nucleotides) under Nicotiana benthamiana. Its description in RNAcentral is "long non-coding RNA (NBEN_LNC033012)". The record is from RNAcentral. Lineage: Eukaryota; Viridiplantae; Streptophyta; Magnoliopsida; Solanales; Solanaceae.
CAGUAGUGGACUUAUGUUUUACUUGUUUUUUGUUCUCUUGUUAGUUUUACAGCAUUAUCAAUUAGUAGUGGACCAUGUUUCCCACUUCUCCUCAUGUUCUCCAUUAUCUAUUAGUUGCUAUUUUUUAGGCUUAGCAGUUAAAUUGUAAGCCUAUAAAAGGCAGUAGGUGUUUGUUUUCAAGCAGAGAGAAUUUAGCAGUAAAAAGUAUUCUUGUAUCUCAACUUGUGCCUUUGUUUCCAACAUAUUUUGGUAUCAGAGCCUUUAGGAAAAGAGGUGGGUUACGGCAUAAACCUUCUUUCUUUUCAAUUUUCAGGUUUCACUUUAACUUCUCAACACAAACCAGAGAGACAAAAUGGCAGCAAAUUCAAACUCUAACACUAACUCCCAACAUCUUCCAAUUUUCAAAGGGGUGAAUUAUCAUUUUUGGAGUCUUAAGAUGAAGACCCUCUUCAAGUCUCAGGAAUUAUGGGACUUGGUGGAGAAUGGAUUUCCAGACCCGGAUGAAGGCCACGCACAACGGCUGCGGGAAAAUCGCAAGAAGGAUUCGAAGGCACUGUUUCUGAUUCAGCAAGCCCUUGAUGAUGAUAUCUUCCCCCGAAUUUCAGCAGCAGAGACUUCCUAUGAAGCUUGGGAAAUUUUGCAGCAGGAGUAUAUGGGAGAUAAGAAGGUAAUUGCAGUAAAUUGCAAACUUUGCGUCGUGAUUUUGAAACUUUAAGCAUGAAAAAUAAUGAAUCGGUACAAGAUUAUAUGUCUAGAGUCUCUUCCAUUGUUAAUCUCAUGAAAUCUUAUGGUGAGAUUGUAAGUGAUGAAAUUGUUGUAGCAAAGGUAUUGAGGUCUUUAACCAAUAAAUUUGAGCAUGUGAUUGCUGCAAUUGAAGAAUCCAAGGAUUUAUCUAAUUAUUCAUUUGAUGAAUUAAUGGGUUACUUGUUAGCGCAUGAAGAUAGAUCAAACUGGUCUCAUGAGAAAAUUGAAGAAAAAGCAUUCCAGGUGAAAGAGGAGGCAUCUUUCUGCAGAGAAAAAUCGGCAAUUUUUUCUGGCAGAGGUAGAGGAAGAGGUGGAUUUCGUGGUCGAGGUCGAGGACGUGGUAGAGGCCGAGGUCAAUUUACUGAGACACGACAGUACAAGAAUGAUAUGCAAUGCCGAUAUUGCAAGAAGCAUGGUCAUAUUGAAUCAUAUUGCUGGACUAAGCAAAAAAAUGAGCAGAAGCAUGCCAAUUUCUCAGAGAAAGUAGAGGAAGAAAGUAAGUUGUUCAUGGCUCAUUCUCCAAUUUCUAACUCUUCUGAUGGUGUUUGGUUCAUUGAUAGUGGAUGCUCGAACCAUAUAUCUGGCACAAGGUCCUUGUUUAGAGACCUCGAUGUGUCAAAGAAGAGUGAAGUUUGACUUGGUAAUGACAAGCAAGUUCGAGCUGAAGGCAAAUGUACUAUAGCCAUAAAGACAAUACAGUGUAAUGUAAAACUUCUCUGUAAUGUGCAAUUUGUUCCUAGUUUGGCUCAUAAUUUAUUGAGUGUUGGUCAAUUGACGUGCAGCAAAUGCUUCUUAUUUUAGAAGCUUGGUUGGUGGUUUAAAUUACUUGUCGCACACACGGCCCGAUAUAGCAUUUUCUGUCAGUUUGAUUUCAAGGUUCAUGCAUAGUCCCUCAAAGCAACACCUAGGUGCAGCCAAGAGGAUUUUGCGAUAUGUUGCUGCCACAACAAGUUAUGGAAUUUUUUACUCAAAAGUAUCAGAUUUUAGGUUAGUUGGCUUUACUGAUAGUGACUGGGCAGGUAGCUUGGAUGAUCGCAAGAGCACAUCUGGGAAUGUUUUCAAUCUUGGUUCUGGAGCAAUCUCAUGGAGUUCAAAGAAACAAGAUACAAUGGCUUUGUUAUCUUCGGAGGCAGAAUACAUGGCUACAACUACAGCAAGUUGUCAAGCUGUCUGGUUAAGAAAAUUGUUAGCGGAUCUUCAACAGAAGCAGAUUGGUCCAACUGAAAUAUGGUGUGACAACAAGGCAACAAUUGCUAUGACAAAGAAUCCUGCUUUUCGCAGUAGAACGAAGCACAUUGACACUCGCUAUCACUUCAUUCGCAAUUUAGUCAUUGAUGGAGUAAUCUCAAUGGAAUUUUGUGGCACAAAUGAUCAAGUUGCUGAUGUAACAAAGAAUCCUGCUUUUCAUAGUAGAACGAAGCACAUCGAGACUCGCUAUCACUUCAUUCGCAAUUUAGUCAUUGAUGGAGUAAUUUCAAUGGAAUUUUGUGGCACAAAUGAUCAAGUUGCUGAUGUUCUUAUGAAAUCGCUGCCUCACAACAAGCAUGACUUCUUCAGACUACAAAUGGGCGUAUGUGAUUUUGAAGAAAGGGGGAGUGUUGACUAAUUCUUCAAAAUAGUUUCAGUUGCACAUGAUUUAGUCGUGGCUUUUUUCUUAGCAGUAGUGGACUUAUGUUUUACUUGUUUUUUGUUCUCUUGUUAGUUUUACAGCAUUAUCAAUUAGUAGUGGACCAUGUUUCCCACUUCUCCUCAUGUUCUCCAUUAUCUAUUAGUUGCUAUUUUUUAGGCUUAGCAGUUAAAUUGUAAGCCUAUAAAAGGCAGUAGGUGUUUGUUUUCAAGCAGAGAGAAUUCAGCAGUAAAAAGUAUUCUUGUAUCUCAACUUGUGCCUUUGUUUCCAACAUAUUUAGGUAUCAGAGCCUUUAGGAAAAGAGGUGGGUUACGGCAUAAACCUUCUUUCUUUUCAAUUUUCAGGUUUCACUUUAACUUCUCAA